RNAcentral lists this ribosomal RNA (845 nucleotides) under Phomatodes nebulosa. Its description in RNAcentral is "partial large subunit ribosomal RNA". It matches the Rfam family "Eukaryotic large subunit ribosomal RNA", at positions 68 to 931 of the family's 3401-position model. The record is from RNAcentral. Lineage: Eukaryota; Fungi; Ascomycota; Dothideomycetes; Pleosporales; Didymellaceae.
ACAGGGAUUGCCCUAGUAACGGCGAGUGAAGCGGCAACAGCUCAAAUUUGAAAUCUGGCGUCUUUGGCGUCCGAGUUGUAAUUUGCAGAGGGCGCUUUGGCAUUGGCAGCGGUCCAAGUUCCUUGGAACAGGACGUCACAGAGGGUGAGAAUCCCGUACGUGGUCGCUAGCCUUUACCGUGUAAAGCCCCUUCGACGAGUCGAGUUGUUUGGGAAUGCAGCUCUAAAUGGGAGGUAAAUUUCUUCUAAAGCUAAAUACUGGCCAGAGACCGAUAGCGCACAAGUAGAGUGAUCGAAAGAUGAAAAGCACUUUGGAAAGAGAGUUAAAAAGCACGUGAAAUUGUUGAAAGGGAAGCGCUUGCAGCCAGACUUGCCUGUAGUUGCUCAUCCGGGUUUUUACCCGGUGCACUCUUCUAUAGGCAGGCCAGCAUCAGUUUGGGCGGUUGGAUAAAGGUCUCUGUCAUGUACCUCUCUUCGGGGAGAACUUAUAGGGGAGACGACAUGCAACCAGCCUGGACUGAGGUCCGCGCAUCUGCUAGGAUGCUGGCGUAAUGGCUGUAAGCGGCCCGUCUUGAAACACGGACCAAGGAGUCUAACAUCUAUGCGAGUGUUUGGGUGUCAAGCCCGAACGCGUAAUGAAAGUGAACGGAGGUGGGAACCUUUCGGGGUGCACCAUCGACCGAUCCUGAUGUCUUCGGAUGGAUUUGAGUAAGAGCAUAGCUGUUGGGACCCGAAAGAUGGUGAACUAUGCUUGAAUAGGGUGAAGCCAGAGGAAACUCUGGUGGAGGCUCGCAGCGGUUCUGACGUGCAAAUCGAUCGUCAAAUUUGGGCAUAGGGGCGAAAGAC